Molecule: ribosomal RNA, 230 nt
Filed under: uncultured Actinomycetales bacterium
Lineage: Bacteria; Bacillati; Actinomycetota; Actinomycetes; Actinomycetales
Description: partial 16S ribosomal RNA
Rfam family: Bacterial small subunit ribosomal RNA
Source: RNAcentral
GAACGGGUGAGUAACACGUGGGUGAUCUGCCUUGCACUCUGGGAUAAGCUUGGGAAACUGGGUCUAAUACCGGAUAGGAACCGUCUUUAGUGUGGUGGUUGGAAAGUUUUUCGGUGCAAGAUGAGCUCGCGGCCUAUCAGCUUGUUGGUGGGGUAAUGGCCUACAAAGGCGUCGACGGGUAGCCGGCCUGAGAGGGUGUACGGCCACAUUGGGACUGAGAUACGGCCCAG